AACGAACGCUUGCGGCGCGCCUAAUACAUGCAAGUCGAGCGAGAAAGUUCUUCGGAAUGAGUACAGCGGCGGACGGGUGAGGAACACGUAGACAAUCUGCCUUAAAGUGGGGAAUAGCUACUCGAAAGAGUAAUUAAUACCGCAUAAGACCACAAGAUCUGAGGAUCAAGGGGUUAAAGGAGCUAUUCGCUUUAAGAUGAGUCUGCGUCCGAUUAGCUAGUUGGUGAGGUAAUGGCUCACCAAGGCGAUGAUCGGUAACUGGUCUGAGAGGAUGGCCAGUCACACUGGAACUGAGACACGGUCCAGACUCCUACGGGUGGCAGCAGUCGAGAAUAAUUCACAAUGGACGGAAGUCUGAUGGUGCAACGCCGCGUGGAGGAUGACGGUCUUCGGAUUGUAAACUCCUGUCAUCCGGGAGUAAGACCUGGCUGUGAAUAGCAGACAGGGUUGAUAGUACCGGAAGAGGAAGGGACGGCUAACUUCGUGCCAGCAGCCGCGGUAA
Molecule: ribosomal RNA, 502 nt
Filed under: uncultured bacterium
Lineage: Bacteria
Description: partial 16S ribosomal RNA
Rfam family: Bacterial small subunit ribosomal RNA
Source: RNAcentral